Molecule: ribosomal RNA, 564 nt
Filed under: Triticum aestivum (bread wheat)
Lineage: Eukaryota; Viridiplantae; Streptophyta; Magnoliopsida; Poales; Poaceae
Description: partial small subunit ribosomal RNA
Source: RNAcentral
AUGGUUGUCGAUGCCCUUACGGUCAUCCUUGAUAAGGCCAAAGCCUGCGGCCAUAUCCGGGGCGUUGUCCCCCACCUAGUGGACGGAGGAGGGGUUUCCCUCCUCCAAUACGCGGACGACACCAUACUCAUGGUGGAGGGCUCCGCGUCCGACAUCGCCAACCUGAAGUUCCUCCUCCUGUGCUUCCAAGAGAUGUCCGGCCUCACCAUCAACUUCGACAAGAGCGAAGUGAUGGUCCUCGGCUACCCCCCGGACGAUGCUUUGUCCAUUGCGGACCGGUUGAACUGCCGCCUGGGCUCCUUCCCCACGACUUACUUGGGGGUGCCCAUUAGUGACUCCAGACUCACCGUCGCGGAUCUCCGCCCGACGGUGACUAGGAUGCAGCACAGGGUUGAACCCUGGAGGGGACGCUGGCUGUCGAAAGCUGCCAGGGUGAUUCUAAUCAACUCCUCGCUUGCCAGCCUUCUCUGGUUUCUCAUGAGCUUCUACAGCCUUCAUGAGACCCUCCAUCAGGAGAUGGCCAAAUACCAGUCGAGGUUCUUCUGGGCUGGUGAGGGCGACAAG